CAGUAGCCGCGGGAAUACAGAGGGUGCGAGCGUUAAUCGGAUUUACUGGGCGUAAAGCGUGCGUAGGCGGCUUCUUAAGUCGGAUGUGAAAUCCCCGAGCUUAACUUGGGAAUUGCAUUCGAUACUGGUUAGCUAGAGUGUGGGAGAGGAUGGUAGAAUUCCAGGUGUAGCGGUGAGAUGCGUAGAGAUCUGGAGGAAUACCGAUGGCGAAGGCAGCCAUCUGGCCUAACACUGACGCUGAGGUACGAAAGCAUGGGGAGCAAACAGGAUUAGAUACCCGGGUAGUCCCUGUCUCUUAUAC
This 301-nucleotide ribosomal RNA is filed under the name uncultured bacterium. RNAcentral's name for it is "partial 16S ribosomal RNA". It matches the Rfam family "Bacterial small subunit ribosomal RNA", at positions 509 to 807 of the family's 1533-position model. The record is from RNAcentral.